GAUGAACGCUGGCGGCGUGCCUAAUACAUGCAAGUCGAGCGAACAGAUGAGGAGCUUGCUCCUCUGACGUUAGCGGCGGACGGGUGAGUAACACGUGGAUAACCUACCUAUAAUACUGGGAUAACUUCGGGAAACCGGAGCUAAUACCGGAUAAUAUAUUGAACCGCAUGGUUCAAUAGUGAAAGACGGUUUUGCUGUCACUUAUAGAUGGAUCCGCGCCGCAUUAGCUAGUUGGUAAGGUAACGGCUUACCAAGGCAACGAUGCGUAGCCGACCUGAGAGGGUGAUCGGCCACACUGGAACUGAGACACGGUCCAGACUACUACGGGAGGCAGCAGUAGGGAAUCUUCCGCAAUGGGCGAAAGCCUGACGGAGCAACGCCGCGUGAGUGAUGAAGGUCUUCGGAUCGUAAAACUCUGUUAUUAGGGAAGAAAAAAUGUGUAAGUAACUAUGCACGUCUUGACGGUACCUAAUCAGAAAGCCACGGCUAACUACGUG
This 497-nucleotide ribosomal RNA is filed under the name uncultured bacterium. Its description in RNAcentral is "partial 16S ribosomal RNA". It matches the Rfam family "Bacterial small subunit ribosomal RNA", at positions 28 to 507 of the family's 1533-position model. The record is from RNAcentral.